UUCCAAGCAACCCUCUGUGCCUCUCUAAGA
RNAcentral lists this non-coding RNA (30 nucleotides) under Mus musculus (house mouse). Lineage: Eukaryota; Metazoa; Chordata; Mammalia; Rodentia; Muridae. The record is from RNAcentral.